RNAcentral lists this long non-coding RNA (317 nucleotides) under Androctonus crassicauda. The record is from RNAcentral. Lineage: Eukaryota; Metazoa; Arthropoda; Arachnida; Scorpiones; Buthidae.
AUUAUUAAUUCACUGCACCAUAUUAACUAGAUAAGAUUCCUAGAUAAAAUCUCAACAGCGCCACCUUCCUCUUCUAUGGAGGAUAUAGUUUACUUCCACUUUUCACUUCUACAUCUUUCUAUUGUGAAUAUGGAAGUUAUAGCUGACACUUUUUCCUCCGAAUAUGAUAAUUCUUUACCCUUUAUAAUCGAAUACUGCACUAUAUUAUACAAUAAUAGUACUGUAUUAUGGACCGGAUAUGAGCCAAUUGGACCGAUUUCACCAAUCGGGCCUCGCGCUUGAGACAAAAUGAAAUAAUGAAAAGGUUAACAAACGAA